Molecule: ribosomal RNA, 769 nt
Filed under: Exiguobacterium acetylicum
Lineage: Bacteria; Bacillati; Bacillota; Bacilli; Caryophanales
Description: bacterial SSU rRNA
Rfam family: Bacterial small subunit ribosomal RNA
Source: RNAcentral
CAGGAGCUGACGGAACUCUUCGGAGGGAAGGCAGUGGAAUGAGGGCGGAAGGGUGAGUAACACGUAAGGAACCUGCCUCAAGGAUUGGGAUAACUCCGAGAAAUCGGAGCUAAUACCGGAUAGUUCAACGGACCGCAUGGUCCGCUGAUGAAAGGCGCUUCGGCGUCACCUUGAGAUGGCCUUGCGGUGCAUUAGCUAGUUGGUGAGGUAACGGCCCACCAAGGCGACGAUGCAUAGCCGACCUGAGAGGGUGAUCGGCCACACUGGGACUGAGACACGGCCCAGACUCCUACGGGAGGCAGCAGUAGGGAAUCUUCCACAAUGGACGAAAGUCUGAUGGAGCAACGCCGCGUGAGUGAUGAAGGUUUUCGGAUCGUAAAACUCUGUUGUAAGGGAAGAACACGUACGAGAGGGAAUGCUCGUACCUUGACGGUACCUUACGAGAAAGCCACGGCUAACUACGUGCCAGCAGCCGCGGUAAUACGUAGGUGGCAAGCGUUGUCCGGAAUUAUUGGGCGUAAAGCGCGCGCAGGCGGCCUUUUAAGUCUGAUGUGAAAGCCCCCGGCUCAACCGGGGAGGGCCAUUGGAAACUGGAAGGCUUGAGUACAGAAGAGAAGAGUGGAAUUCCACGUGUAGCGGUGAAAUGCGUAGAGAUGUGGAGGAACACCAGUGGCGAAGGCGACUCUUUGGUCUGUAACUGACGCUGAGGCGCGAAAGCGUGGGGAGCAACAGGAUUAGAUACCCUGGUAGUCCACGCCGUAAACGAUGA